This 377-nucleotide ribosomal RNA is filed under the name uncultured bacterium. RNAcentral's name for it is "bacterial SSU rRNA". It matches the Rfam family "Bacterial small subunit ribosomal RNA", at positions 521 to 896 of the family's 1533-position model. The record is from RNAcentral.
UAAUACGGAGGGUGCGAGCGUUGUCCGGAAUCACUGGGCGUAAAGGGCGCGUAGGCGGCCGUGUAAGUCACUUGUGAAAUCCCGGGGCUCAACUCCGGGGCUGCAGGUGAGACUGCGUGGCUAGAGCACGGUAGAGGCGAGUGGAAUUCCCGGUGUAGCGGUGGAAUGCGUAGAUAUCGGGAAGAACACCGGUGGCGAAGGCGGCUCGCUGGGCCGUUGCUGACGCUGAGGCGCGAAAGCGUGGGGAGCAAACAGGAUUAGAUACCCUGGUAGUCCACGCCGUAAACGAUGGGUACUAGGCGUCGGGGGGAGCGACCCUCCCGGUGCCGUCGCUAACGCAGUAAGUACCCCGCCUGGGGAGUACGGUCGCAAGACUG